AACUUUCAACAACGGAUCUCUAGGCUCUUGCAUCGAUGAAGAAUGCAGUGAAAUGCGAUAAGUAAUGUGAAUUGCAGAAUCUCGUGAAUCAUCGAAUCUUUGAACGCACAUUGCGCCUUAUGGUAAUCCGUAAGGCAUGCCUGUCUGAGCGUCAUAUGCCUCCACCUCAAGCUUCUUUAACUUGGAUUGCCUUGGAAAAGCACUCGCAACCUGAGCUGCCUUCCAGAAAUCUAUAGGCGGUAUGGCUGUUUUUAGACCAGACGUAAUAUUUCAAAAAUCGUCUUCUAAAAGAAUUGUACUUGCCAUUAACCCACCCUUAAUCAUACUUGGGUGACCUCAGAUCAGGUAGGGAUACCCGCUGAACUUAAGCAUAUCAAUAAGCGGAGGCU
This 389-nucleotide unclassified non-coding RNA is filed under the name uncultured Pezizaceae. RNAcentral describes it as "sequence contains ITS2". The stretch from base 1 to 154 matches the Rfam family "5.8S ribosomal RNA". The record is from RNAcentral. Lineage: Eukaryota; Fungi; Ascomycota; Pezizomycetes; Pezizales; Pezizaceae.